Gorilla gorilla gorilla (western lowland gorilla) is the source of this 927-nucleotide long non-coding RNA. RefSeq lists it as uncharacterized. The record is from RefSeq and is a predicted model, not a curated record. Lineage: Eukaryota; Metazoa; Chordata; Mammalia; Primates; Hominidae. The transcript has 3 exons.
CAUUUCUGUGAGAGAGAAAAAGAGAGAGUCAUAGCACAGGAUGAGGGUAAGGUGAGGGUUUAUUUUUCUUUUACUUUUAUUCUUUUGAGACAGUCUGGCUCUGCUGCCCAGGCUGGAAUGCAGUGGUGCCAUCUCGGUUCACUGCAACCUCUGCCUCCCCAGGAUCAAGUGAUUCUCCUGCCUCAGCCUCCCAGGUAGCUGGGACUACAGGCGCCUGUCACCACACCCGGCUAAUUUUUGUAUUUUUAGUAGAGACGUGGUUUCACCAUGUUGGCCAGACUGAUCUUGAACUCCUGACGUCAGGUGAUCCACCCGCCUCAGCCUCCCAAAGCGUUGGGAUUACAGGCGUGAGUCACUGUGCCCAGCCAAGAGGGGCAGUGGCCCAGGAUGACCACCUCCCUGCCUUCCUGAUCCCCUGGCCUCACCUCCACAAUGGAUGGGUCUUCAGGCUCCAGAAGGCAGGAAUGAAGACUAUGACAAGCAGGAGGAGAAGCAGCAGUAGAAACAGAGUUUCACCAUGUUGCCCCGGCUGGUCUCAAACUCCUGACCUCAAGAGAUCCACCCGCCUUGGCCUCCAAAGUGCUGGGAUUACAGGCGUGAGCCACCGCACCUGGCUGGACCUUCUUAAUAAUUGAUACUUCUGGAACUCUCCAACUAUGGCCAUUCUAAGCAAUUGGGAAGCUUCCAGGUUGCCCCGUUUCUGAAACUUCCUCUAUUGUGACUAUGCUAGACCUGGGGUGAAGUCUGGGGAAGGGACAGUCUCUUUGGCAUGCUGACCGCCGAGGAGACCAGUUUGGGGAGGAAAGAUUAUUCAGGGGUCUCCUACCUUGGGGAGAAGUGAGGGGAGGAGGAGGGCCCGCUGUAAGGGAGUGCUCGCGCCCUUGGUCUCUGUUCUUGGCCAUGAAUGAUGUUGUUCACCCGUCUCUC